RNAcentral lists this transfer RNA (74 nucleotides) under Candidatus Zixiibacteriota bacterium. RNAcentral's name for it is "tRNA-Ile". It matches the Rfam family "tRNA". Rfam says of the family: Transfer RNA (tRNA) molecules are approximately 80 nucleotides in length. Lineage: Bacteria; Pseudomonadati; Candidatus Zixiibacteriota. The record is from RNAcentral.
GGGCCCAUAGCUCAGUCGGUUAGAGCUGCUGACUCAUAAUCAGUAGGUCCCAGGUUCGAGUCCUGGUGGGCCCA